GAACUCGUUGCUCGCCGGUGACACGGUCGUGGACCGCGUCAGGAGGCGACCGUAGGUCACCGCGGCAUUGCGCAGCCCGAAGAGCCGCCCCCCUGAGGAAGGCCCUCCGGCGCGCGCCUGGCCGCUUGCUGCUGUCCCAGCGGCGGAGCCGGGGAUGGUGGGGCGAGCGGGCAAGACGAGGAGAGGGAUCAUCUCGAUCCCCUCCCCGGUGGCGAGGAAGUCCAAAC
Molecule: long non-coding RNA, 227 nt
Filed under: Setaria italica (foxtail millet)
Lineage: Eukaryota; Viridiplantae; Streptophyta; Magnoliopsida; Poales; Poaceae
Description: long non-coding RNA (SITA_LNC005871)
Source: RNAcentral